Molecule: non-coding RNA, 7571 nt
Organism: Chrysemys picta bellii (western painted turtle)
Lineage: Eukaryota; Metazoa; Chordata; Testudines; Emydidae
Source: RefSeq, a predicted model, not a curated record
GCUGACUACAAACCUACCAAGACCCCAUGGACACAUAUUUGGGGUGGCUAGCCCAUGCCACCAUUCACCACUGCCUGUGCUUCCUGGCUACGUUACUAUUUUUAGCACACUAGCUUGAUGAUAGUAUGUCUAGUCAAGCUGGGAAUCACACCCCUAGCUCCAAGUGUAGAUGUAGCCAGUGAUUCUUCACUCUUUAUUACUCAGUAUGAUAUUUCCAAUGUAGCUGUAGUUUUUAUGUCUUUAACCAUUACUGGAUUGAUGGAAAUAGAAUAGCCUUCCAUUGCAGAGCUAUUCUGUGCUUGGCUAGGAGGAGUACAAUAUAAAUAGAUUUCUAUUGGUGUUUGACUCUGUAUCUUGUUUGAAGGUCUUUAAUGAUAUGGAGUAGGCAUAGUUUUGGAUCACAUGAGUUAAGUUUUGUUAUCCAGGAAAUAUGCUUAAUAAUUGCUGGUCAAAAGGGUGCCUCAUAGGGACAUUGCUAUACCAUGUGUGUGGGUACCAGUUUCUGUUUGGCACUGAAAUGAGAAAUCAGGUGAUGUUACAAGGGGCGGUGUAGAUUCUUUGUGGGAUUUUGUACAAAGUUAUGCAGAAUUUUUAAUGUUAUAACAUUGAAUUGAAUGCUAGAAGAAGAGGAAAAUAUUCAAAAGUGUCUAAGUCCCAUUUUCAAAAGUGAUUUAGGCACUUAAGAGCUUACAUCUCAUGGAAAAUCAAUAGGAGAUAGGCUCUUGAGUGCCUAAAUCUCUUUUGAAAAUGGGACUUAGUCUUCCAAAUUACUUGGGUGCUUUUGAAAAUUGUACUCCAUACCAUUUCCCCACGUCAUUAUUUCCCAGUAUCUAAGUCCAUCUUCCAUCUACCUGGUACUUCUAGGAUCUGGUUUAGAAAUACUCUUAUUGAUCCAAGAUAAUGCAUGUUUAUUGUACAGGGAGAAAAUGAAUGUAUUUUCAACUACAGAAUCAUUUGUUUUGUUAAAUUUAGGUUUUAAAGCUGUAGUAGUGCAUUUGGAUGUUGUGUAAAUAAUUUAUCCUAAGUGGUUAUCGGAGGGGGAUCAAGAGUGUAGAACUCUUUCUGCACUCUUCAUAUAAUUAUAAUUUUACUUUGCUGUUGCUUAAAAGCUAUCUAGCCAAAAGACAAUUAUGCCUUUUCUGAUACAUAGCUAUAAAUAAUUGAAGAUCCUAUGGCAGUUCUUUAAAGACUGAGAGAGGCUAGCAGAUUGAGCUACGUUUAGAUGUGCAUAUGGUGAGUUAAAGCUUUUGCCUAGGCUUCCUCAUAAGUUUGUUCAUAUAUUCUAGGAUGGAGAUAUAAAUUAGAAGCAUUUAAAGAGCAUCAUAUAGUGAAAUCUCAGUGAUGAGUGUUUUUUUCGCUUUACAGGCAGGAAUAGACUGGGAUCGUGGUAGGAUCUAGAUUAUUGGAGCUGUACUAAGUAUAGUUGAAAGUUGGGAAGGACCAAGACCCCAUUCACCAUUCAGUGAAUGCAUUGUGAGAAGAUGUCCCUCCAGAAGUGCUGUCUCUAUAGGAUAUGUACUCAGACUACUUUGAAUGUUCCUGGUAUCUAAGGUGGCAAUACGUUCCUGCAGGGCAUAACAGGGCUGUGUCAGUGAAGUUUAUAAUAAAGGUGCCCAAGGGGCAUAUAAAAGAUUCAGCAGAUAUUUAAAAGGGGGAUCUCUGCUGAAACAAACUGUAGCACUUUAAAAAUUGCAAAGAGCUAUGGCAUGGGGAAAAAUUAUGUUGAAAGACAAUGGUGCAUAUGCAGAAGUUGAAAUUGGGUAUACCAGUGUUAGGGAAGCAAAGACUAAUUACAGAGUGGUUAUUGCUGCACUGAAGGAUCUAGAAAAGCAAAGACUCCCUUUAAAAUGAUGAUUUACAGAGGCAUGACUGCAAAAUAUUCAGUUUUGUCCUCUGAAUUACAUGACCUCAGCCUGGAUUCAAGUUUGGCCUUGCUUUGUAAACUAGUAGUGAUCUGCACACAUUUGGUUCAUGACACCUGUAUUCAAGAGGCAAUCAUCCUUUCUUUCUUAGGCAUAAUUGUAAUUUCACAGCCAGUGAAAUAACAAUGCUGCCCCAGGAGGGAGCUCUUCCAGUAAUACUAAGUUAUGCUACCUAUUACAACAUGCAAAAAUAUUUUGUCAAAAUUGGAUAUAAACUUUAUUUGCUCUAUCUAGAUGUCCAUUAACAUACCAAACUUGUUGUGUGUGGGUACACAUUUAAAUUUGAACCAUAUUUGUUGAGGAAGGUCACAUGGGAGUGGUUACAUGAUAUUUUUCCGAAAAUGGUCAAUAAGUCUACUUCUAGUUCUAAGGAACCAGCAAACCCCAGACAGACCUGUGCAUAAGGCUGUUCAACACAAACUUGUCCUGUGAGAUCUCAAUAAGAAUCAAGUAUGAUGAAAAUUGGAUUAAUUCCCAAACCUUUUUGAAUUCCAGUGCCUACAAACCCUAGUGAACCAAUUCUGACAAAAAGUUCACAAACUCUUAUUGAACUGAACUUGGAAGGGUUCACACAGUGCUAAUCAUUGGCUGACCAGAUGAAGGAAAGAGAAAAAGGUUGUCAGACCACUGAAAGGAAAAUAUAGCCAAGAGGACAAAUGCACGUUGUAGUCUUUGUCCUGAGAGAAAAAGGCAGCAAAUGGCAGGUUAAAAUGAAGCAGUGGAUCAUCAAAUUCUGGUGAAGAAUAGAAAAAUGGCAAGGGUGGCUUAAGAGAAGAUGUUUAUUAGUGAAGGCAUGUAUGUGUUAUCCUUUUAUGUGAUUUGCUAAGUUAUGCAUAUAUUAUUUUACAGAUAUUAUAGGAGGGGCUGCUUUAUGGAGGGGACCUGAAACUGGAAAGUGACAGAGAGAAACAUCCCUGUGGCCUGUGAGAGACAUCCAGGGACUACAUUGGGUUAAACACUGAUUUAUUUAAACUGUAAAUUUGUCCACCAAAGGAAGGAGGCUGUGGUAAGUUAAACGUCAGAUUUGAUUGUUCCUGAGGGUGCAGUUGGGAAAGGAAUUCUUAUAGGGCUUGAUCCAAAGCAGACUGAAGUCAAUGGAGAGACUUUUAUUGACUUAAUGAGCUUUGGGUCAGGUUCUCGUUGAGCAGAGUCCCAAGUAUCCAUCACAGCUGUGCUUUCAAUAACACCAUCUGGGAGAUCUGCUUGUGGAUACAGCAGGACUGACAAUGCUAAAGUUCAUGUUCUUCUUUUCCCAUUUAUAGAAGAGACAUGACUGAAUUUUUCAGGGAGUAUUUGAGUUUUAUUAAGCAGUUUUAAUAACUCUUUAAUAGGCAGACUAUCCAAACCCCAAUGAACCAACAUUCCAAUGAUAGGAAAUUCAAUAAUGCCUAUGAAUUUAGAAUUUACUUUUCCCCAAAGUUCCAGUUGGCCAAAAUACAUAUAUGUCUCCCAUACAAUUCCAAUUGUCAGGAUUUAUCCAUAUUUCAGCUUAAUAAAUGUCUGAGAGAUGGGCCCUGUAGAAAUAUUUAUACUUUUAAUAUUUGUAUUGGUUUUAUAUCUAUACAGAAAAAUCCACAGCCAACUCCAAUUAAUGUGCAUCUCCUUACACCCUCUUAAUACUCCCAAAAUCUCUAUUCACAACAAAAUAAAAUCUUCUGCAUCCUUCUCCACACAACACACUCAUAUUCCAAUCAACCAACCCCAGUAGGGAAAGCCUGGGUGAAUAAAUAGUGAUCUGAAGGUCAAAACUUCUGGUUCUGUUCAACAAAGUGAGGUUGCGGUGUAAACUCUAGAUUUUCAAAAAAUGCCCUGUCAUUGGAUCCAUCAAUUUAAACCAGGAAGCUGUUAGUUUGAGUACCUCACUUGAUCUCAGCCUCUACUAUAUCACAUAGGGGUAGUCUCUGAGUUAUGUACCCAACAUAUCUAAAACAAGGUUUUAUCAGUCAAAACCAACACCUUGAACUUCACCAGUCACAGAGCAUGAGUGUAAUAUGUUCCCAGUGUGAGCUAAAUAUUUAGACUAACAAAGGUCAUAUUGAGUUAGACAAGUGCAUUAUUCUUUGUUUGUACUGACAACUGUAACUGUAAUCUGUGUUAAACUAGACAAAUGGUCAAUUAAUGUGUAUUUCUUUUCAAUGUCCCUUGGAUAAUGAAUUGUUAAACUAAAUUUAGACCAGAAAAAUGAGAAAAUUAUAGACAUGUCAUUCCAGAACAAAUACUCUUAACCAAGGAAAUUGGUGCAAUUGGGUUAUAAAAGUAGAGCAGCAGAAAUUGAAAAUGCUGACAUGACAGAAAAUUAUUUUUUUUUCUAAGUAAGCACAAUAUUAGGAAAUUUACAAUCUCCAGGAAAUGCGCUUGUCUCCAAGGAUGUCUUGCAUGUCCUCAUCAACAUCUCCGCAAUUCCACACUUAAUUGCCUUCAGAAUCUGUGGAUGAAUACAGGGUAAACAUGUGAAGUUGAUACAUUUGCAUUCAGAGACUCUAGGUUUGCUCAGAUCUGAAACUUGGGGACUGUGAAAACAGAUAAGCAAAAAUGGAAGAAAAUGUUUGAAUGAAUUCUGAAAAAGUACCUCUGCUAUUUAUGUCGGAAAUGACAUUGCUUUUCAGCAAGAUAUCUUCCAUCACAAGACUCGUAACCAAAACUAGAAUUAAAAAAGAGUGUUGGGCCAAAUUCAUUGCCAAUGUAACUCCAUUUACUUCAGUGAUGUCAAUCUAACUCAAUGGACUUACACCAGGGAUUAAUUGUGCCUUUAUUUAUAUUAAUUUUUGCUUUUCAAAGUACCUCUGAUUAUUGUCUAUCAGCAAGAAGCCUGACAGUAGAAAAGAUUUAAUUGAUUAUCACUUCAGGUACCACCUUCUCUCUGGUAUAUUAUAUGGUGAUGGUAAAGAAUCAAAGUCCUCUUCUUUUACACUGCACAAGAAACUUUAUUAGAAUAAAGGAAACAGUAUUGUCCCUAAUGCUACUCUGUUUUUGUCAAUGCUUCAAUGUAAAGCACUGUCUAGAACCUUCCUUGCUGCCCCACUCCUGCUUGGCAUCUUGCUACAAACUUACAGAAAUAAUGCAUGUACCCUUACACACUGUUUCUCAGAUGUUGUUGUAGUUGAUACUUGCAUCAGGAUCCUCCUGUCAGGGCCAGGACAUGGGCAGCCUGUGUGCACAGGUCAGUUACCAAGUUAUGGUUAGGAGACAAGUAGUGGACUUGGGGUUGAGCUGUGUCAGGAUACCAGGAAGUCAGGGUCAGGUGCCAAGUUGCAGACCGGAAGCAAGUGGAAGAGCUGGGGAUGAAUUGGAGUCAGGAGCUGGAGUCUGGGGUUCAUCGCAAGGCAAAGUCUGGAGCGGAAGCAAGCAGGCACUUGUUGCUCAGACAGCUCCCUGUGAUGGCUUACUGGUUUAUAUACCAGUGUGAGACACUCAGUGAGCUGCAGGGGCUGCCUACUCAGGCCCAGCUGGGCAGUACUUCCUGCACCAUCUAGAUUCACAGGGUUCCCCAGCAGAAACCCAGCCUGAGCUUCUGAUGAAAGUGUUGGCAGCCUGGAACUGCCAUAGUUCCAGUCACACAAGUUCUUACUUAAUCCUCCCCCUCCACAACUCCUUGUGGUGGUGCCAGUUCAGGCUUGCUGAGAGAGUUCUGUAGGACUCAUCCCGCCAGGUCAGGGUUCCCAGGUGUGCUUUUCAGGGCCAUUGCCUGCCUAGUCAAUGAGAUAGUACAGGUGACCACACGUCCAUUGGGAAUCGAGGAUGGAAUGCACUUCUUACUCCUCAUGACCCUGGAUUUCAACCAGUGGAGAUGGGGGUGCGGUUUAGUUAGGGCAGGGAUACUCAGUAUAGGGUAAGGCUUUAGAAGGGAAAUAUGAAAAAUUGGGUGUAUUUUGGGGGACUGUGGAAUCUGUAGUUUAAAGCUAACUGGCUUGCUCUGCUGAUGUAUCUGGAAGAGUCCCAGGAACUGGUGGUCCAGUUUCCAGGAGGGUCAACUAAGCUAGAGUUGCUUUGCAGUGAGCUGUGCCUUCUGGCCUACUGUGAAUACUGGAGUUUCCUGUCAUUGACGUCUCUUGUAAGCCUUCUUCACCUCUUCUAGGUGGUUCUUGAGCUCCUUCUGGAUAAGAUGGAUCUGUUGGACCCAGUCGGUGCUGGCUGGGUUCUGGGAGGUUGCUGGUAGCACUGGGUAGAACUUGUAAUUCACAAAGAAGGGUCUCCAACCUGGAAAGGCAUGGUCAGCAUUGUUAUAAGUAAACUGCAUACAACAGGAGUGUGGACCAGUUAUCCUGGUGAUAGUUCAUAGACCAUCUCAAGUAUUGUUCCUGUAAUUGGUUCACCCUUUCAGUUUGUCCAUCUGUUUGGAGGUAGUAUGUGGUGGAGGUGGAUAGAUGGAUGUCCUGUAACCAGAGCAUUUUGCACCAAAAGUGAGGGGUUAAAUGUGGGCCUCAGUCUGAAAUUAUGUUGUCUGAAAUCUGUGAUGAUGAACCACAGUUUGCACCAGCAUUGGGCAGUAGUCUCAGCACAGGGCAGGUGAUUGCAGGAGAUGAAAUGAGCCAUUUUAAUCAGACAGUCCAUGACUGUUAAGACCAUACUUAUGUCCAUUGGAUGUUGAGAGUUCCACAACGAAGUCAAGGGGGAUGACCAAGACCUAGCUGGAGUCUCCAGGGGAACUCAGGUGCCAAGAGAUCUAAGGUGCCUGGGGCAUCUUGGUGCAGUAUGUGAACAAGGCCCACCCUAACUGCAUUUGGUUCAAAGUUCAGGCUUUGCAGAGGUACUCAAGGUUCUUAUUGUUGGUAAGGACCUGCACCAAGUGCAAAGCUCCCCAAGGUGGUGAUGCCAUUCUUCAAAAGCAGUUUUGAUGGCAAGUAGCAUUUUGUCCACUAUUUCUGUGGGGGUGAGUUUUUGAGAGUAGUAUACACAAGGGUGCAGAAUGACUGAGGACUGAAUUUCUGCAAGAGUACUGUCCUGAGGGCCAUUUUGGACGCAUCCAAGUAGAUGAUCACAUAUUGGUCCAGGAUGUCCCUCAACACGCUUACAAAAUGUUGAAAUGUUGCAGGUGCAUUGGUUAAACCAAACAGCAUUACGAGGUAUUCAAAAUGCCCAUAUUGGGUACAAAAAGCCAGUCUUUCAUUUAUCUCCAAGUCUUAUGUACACUAGAUUGUAUGCCCCCUGAAGAUCUAGUUUAGUGAUGAUCCUGGCACUCAACAGGUGGUCCAACAGUUCCAGGAUGAGGGACAGGCAGUAUUGGUUAUGAUUCAGUGCACAAUAGUUUAUACAGAGGCAUACUGACAUCUUAUUUUUCACACAAAGAGGACUGCUGGAGAUGUGGGUGGCCAAAUUAAGCCCUUCUGUGAGAUUUUCCUGGAUAUACAUGUGCAGUGCCUCCAGCUCCGGUUCAGAUGUGUAUAUCCAUCCAUAGCAUCUAUUGGACAGUGGGGGUAGUGAAUCCAUGUUUUCCAUUCAAAUACAUCCAGGUAAUCUUGGUACUUUUGGGGAAGGCCAGGAUUCUGGUCUGGAGCCUCUCCCUUCUGGUUAUCCCCCACCGUCUAGGGCUUUACUUCCUACGGUCUUAUCUGGGGCCCUUGGUGUGGAUCACUGGGGGAGGGGUUAGUUGACUUGUUGCAGGCAAGCUUUCUGGAAAUAUUUGCAGGGGAAGCUAAUGUUCCUCUACUG